Molecule: ribosomal RNA, 465 nt
Filed under: Vreelandella stevensii
Lineage: Bacteria; Pseudomonadati; Pseudomonadota; Gammaproteobacteria; Oceanospirillales; Halomonadaceae
Description: partial 16S ribosomal RNA
Rfam family: Bacterial small subunit ribosomal RNA
Source: RNAcentral
CCUACGGGUGGCAGCAGUGGGGAAUAUUGGACAAUGGGGGCAACCCUGAUCCAUCCAUGCCGCGUGUGUGAAGAAGGCCCUCGGGUUGUAAAGCACUUUCAGUGAGGAAGAACGCCUGGUGGUUAAUACCCAUCAGGAAAGACAUCACUCACAGAAGAAGCACCGGCUAACUCCGUGCCAGCAGCCGCGGUAAUACGGAGGGUGCGAGCGUUAAUCGGAAUUACUGGGCGUAAAGCGCGCGUAGGUGGCUUGAUAAGCCGGUUGUGAAAGCCCCGGGCUCAACCUGGGAACGGCAUCCGGAACUGUCAAGCUAGAGUGCAGGAGAGGAAGGUAGAAUUCCCGGUGUAGCGGUGAAAUGCGUAGAGAUCGGGAGGAAUACCAGUGGCGAAGGCGGCCUUCUGGACUGACACUGACACUGAGGUGCGAAAGCGUGGGUAGCAAACAGGAUUAGAUACCCCGGUAGUC